Molecule: long non-coding RNA, 150 nt
Organism: Alnus glutinosa
Lineage: Eukaryota; Viridiplantae; Streptophyta; Magnoliopsida; Fagales; Betulaceae
Exons: 3
Source: RefSeq, a predicted model, not a curated record
AGUCUGGAAGAUUUAGGAAGAAUAAUCUGAGUUAACAAGUUACUUAGUUAUCACUUAUCAAAUAUCAACCAAUGCCAUGGAUAAUUUCAGACUUUCAGAGUUUCAGUCCUGGUAACUGGUGUAGGCUGUGUUGAGAUUGCUGAACAAGAG